This 774-nucleotide long non-coding RNA is filed under the name Heterocephalus glaber (naked mole-rat). RNAcentral describes it as "lncRNA (ENSHGLG00100051451.1)". The record is from RNAcentral. Lineage: Eukaryota; Metazoa; Chordata; Mammalia; Rodentia; Bathyergidae.
UGCCAAGAGAAAUUAGAAGAGAGUGCAGAUUCAGCCGCAGGGGAAAAAAGCUCUGAAUCUACAACACACCCUUUCCCUAGCUGCUCCUGUCAGCACCCUCUCAAAGUGAGGAAAAGAAACCUGUUUUCCUUAUGACAAAGACUGAUUUGAUGAUAAACCUUCUCGGCUUCCCAGGAGGUGGCAGUGACUCUGAUCGGUGAGGAGGAGGCCGAAGGAGUAGACAGUCUGCACCUCCCACUCCAGGGGAAUCUAAUCCACUCAGGCCAAGGGAGGAAAGAGGAGGCGGCCCGAGGCCACACUGUCCAAGGGGGUCGCCAUCCGACUCUGAAGCCUGGAGACCCUGGAGCCCCAGAGUGAGUCUUCCCGAGGCCGUGACCAGAGGAUGUCAGCAUGUGCGUGGAGGCUGGAACUGCUGCUUCUUCAGCAUGGAUCAGAGACCGGCCAAGAGCUCUGGCAGCAGAGUCAGCUAGAGGCCAGCUGUGCUCCGGACAGGAUCAGAAGCUGGCUGUCCUGUGCUUCCUUCCUUUGCUCCUCCUCUUCAUCAGAUCCUUCUUUGUCCCUGUGAGUCUUGCCAUGGGAAGGGCAGGAAGGAGAGGUUCAGUCUUUGUUCUCAGACUAGGUCUGUGUUGCAGACCUAGUAGGGAUGGGCACUGUGGUCCUGGGGCUGGGAUAUGCUUUGAGGAUCAGAACCUGAGGGAGGCAGCCCGGCCAGGAGGCUGGACGAUGGAGAGUUUUGAGGCGCUGAUUUGCCACAUGUUCCACAGGAAAGCCAGG